This 253-nucleotide ribosomal RNA is filed under the name uncultured bacterium. Its description in RNAcentral is "partial 16S ribosomal RNA". It matches the Rfam family "Bacterial small subunit ribosomal RNA", at positions 524 to 776 of the family's 1533-position model. The record is from RNAcentral.
GACAGAGGAUGCAAACGUUGCUCGGAUUUACUGGGCGUAAAGCGCGCGCAGGCGGUCCUGUAAGUCGAGUGUGAAAUCCCGGGGCUCAACCUCGGACGUGCACUCGAUACUGCGGGACUGGAGUACUGGAGAGGAGAGCGGAAUUCCCGGUGUAGAGGUGAAAUUCGUAGAUAUCGGGAGGAACACCAGUGGCGAAGGCGGCUCUCUGGACAGAUACUGACGCUGAGGCGCGAAAGCGUGGGAAGCAAACAGG